CCUCUCCCUCAAGGGCUUCUCUCCUGCAUGCUUAUAUGUUGGGAAAGAAGCUCUAGCAGGGAGAGCCA
Non-coding RNA from Solanum tuberosum (potato), 68 nucleotides. Lineage: Eukaryota; Viridiplantae; Streptophyta; Magnoliopsida; Solanales; Solanaceae. The record is from RefSeq and is marked provisional.